Non-coding RNA from Thamnophis sirtalis, 446 nucleotides. The record is from RefSeq and is a predicted model, not a curated record. Lineage: Eukaryota; Metazoa; Chordata; Lepidosauria; Squamata; Natricidae.
GUUAACAUAUGAAUCUGACUAUUGUUGACUCAAAAAAAAAAUCCUCAAUUUUUUUAUAUUCUGUGAAAACAGCUACAGAACAUUUCUUCUGCUUAUGCAACAUAGUGGCAUGAUGUGUUACGCAAUUCUUCAAAUGCGUUUCUUAUGAAACUUCAGCUUGUAUGCUUAUGCUUCAUGGAAAGCAGAAUUGCAAAAGACCAAAGGAAAAAAAAAAUCAGUUGUGUUUGCAAUGCUUUAGGCCCGCUUGGAAGUACACCGCCUUGGAAUUACAGGAUUUACAAAGAAAGAACAGAGGGAAUUGGAGCAAGAACGUGCUGUCAUGUUGGGAGCAAAGCCUCCAAAAAAGGAAUAUGUAAACUACAAAAUACUUCAAGAGCAAAUCAAAGAAAAACAAGCAGCAAAGAAGAAAGAAAAUAUGAUGGAAAAUAAAUCUGAUUCUCUGAAGA